GAUGAACGCUGGCGGCGUGCCUAAUACAUGCAAGUCGAGCGAACAGAUGAGGAGCUUGCUCCUCUGACGUUAGCGGCGGACGGGUGAGUAACACGUGGAUAACCUACCUAUAAGACUGGGAUAACUUCGGGAAACCGGGGCUAAUACCGGAUAAUAUAUUGAACCGCAUGGUUCAAUAGUGAAAGACGGUUUUGCUGUCACUUAUAGAUGGAUCCGCGCCGCAUUAGCUAGUUGGUAAGGUAACGGCUUACCAAGGCAACGAUGCGUAGCCGACCUGAGAGGGUGAUCGGCCACACUGGAACUGAGACACGGUCCAGACUCCUACGGGAGGCAGCAGUAGGGAAUCUUCCGCAAUGGGCGAAAGCUUGACGGAGCAACGCCGCGUGAGUGAUGAAGGUCUUCGGAUCGUAAAACUCUGUUAUUAGGGAAGAACAAAUGUGUAAGUAACUAUGCACGUCUUGACGGUACCUAAUCAGAAAGCCACGGCUAACUACGUG
Molecule: ribosomal RNA, 497 nt
Filed under: uncultured bacterium
Lineage: Bacteria
Description: partial 16S ribosomal RNA
Rfam family: Bacterial small subunit ribosomal RNA
Source: RNAcentral